GUGGGGGAUAACGUAGCGAAAGUUACGCUAAUACCGCAUAUUCUGUGAGCAGGAAAGCAGGGGAUCGCAAGACCUUGCGCUGAUUGAGCGGCCGAUAUCAGAUUAGCUAGUUGGUGAGGUAAAGGCUCACCAAGGCGACGAUCUGUAGCGGGUCUGAGAGGAUGAUCCGCCACACUGGAACUGAGACACGGUCCAGACUCCUACGGGAGGCAGCAGUGGGGAAUUUUGGACAAUGGGGGCAACCCUGAUCCAGCUAUGCCGCGUGAGUGAAGAAGGCCUUCGGGUUGUAAAGCUCUUUCGGCCGGGAAGAAAUCGCAUGGGUUAAUACCCUGUGCGGAUGACGGUACUGGCAUAAGAAGCACCGGCUAACUACGUGCCAGCAGCCGCGGUAAUACGUAGGGUGCGAGCGUUAAUCGGAAUUACUGGGCGUAAAGCGUGCGCAGGCGGUUUUUUAAGACAGGCGUGAAAUCCCCGGGCUCAACCUGGAAACUGCGCUUGUGACUGGAAGGCUAGAGUAUGGCAGAGGGGGGUGGAAUUCCACGUGUAGCAGUGAAAUGCGUAGAGAUGUGGAGGAACACCAAUGGCGAAGGCAGCCCCCUGGGCCAAUACUGACGCUCAUGCACGAAAGCGUGGGUAGCAAACAGGAUUAGGUACCCUGGUAGUCCACGCCCUAAACGAUGUCAACUAGGUGUUGGGUGGGUAAAACCAUUUAGUACCGGAGCUAACGCGUGAAGUUGACCGCCUGGGGAGUACGGCCGCAAGGUUAAAACUCAAAGGAAUUGACGUGGACCCGCACAAGCGGUGGAUGAUGUGGAUUAAUUCGAUGCAACGCGAAAAACCUUACCUACCCUUGACAUGUCCAGGAGCCUGAAGAGAUUUGGGUGUGCCCGAAAGGGAACUGGAACACAGGUGCUGCAUGGCUGUCGUCAGCUCGUGUCGUGAGAUGUUGGGUUAAGUCCCGCAACGAGCGCAACCCUUGUCAUUAAUUGCCAUCAUUUAGUUGGGCACUUUAACGAGACUGCCGGUGACAAACCGGAGGAAGGUGGGGAUGACGUCAAGUCCUCAUGGCCCUUAUGGGUAGGGCUUCACACGUCAUACAAUGGUCGGUACAAAGGGUUGCCAAGCCGCGAGGUGGAGCCAAUCCCAGAAAGCCGAUCGUAGUCCGGAUCGCAGGCUGCAACUCGCCUGCGUGAAGUCGGAAUCGCUAGUAAUCGUGGAUCAGCAUGUCACGGUGAAUACGUUCCCGGGUCUUGUACACACCGCCCGUCACACCAUGGGAGCGGGUUCCGCCAGAAGUAGGUAGCCUAACCGCAAGGAGGGCGCUUACCACGG
This 1332-nucleotide ribosomal RNA is filed under the name metagenome. Its description in RNAcentral is "bacterial SSU rRNA". It matches the Rfam family "Bacterial small subunit ribosomal RNA", at positions 136 to 1462 of the family's 1533-position model. The record is from RNAcentral.